CAGCAGCCGCGGGAAUACGAAGGGGGCUAGCGUUGUUCGGAAUUACUGGGCGUAAAGCGCACGUAGGCGGACAUUUAAGUCAGGGGUGAAAUCCCGGGGCUCAACCCCGGAACUGCCUUUGAUACUGGGUGUCUAGAGUAUGGAAGAGGUGAGUGGAAUUCCGAGUGUAGAGGUGAAAUUCGUAGAUAUUCAGAGGAACACCAGUGGCGAAGGCGGCUCACUGGUCCAUUACUGACGCUGAGGUGCGAAAGCGUGGGGAGCAAACAGGAUUAGAUACCCCCGUAGUCCCUGUCUCUUAUAC
Molecule: ribosomal RNA, 301 nt
Filed under: uncultured bacterium
Lineage: Bacteria
Description: partial 16S ribosomal RNA
Rfam family: Bacterial small subunit ribosomal RNA
Source: RNAcentral